RNAcentral lists this long non-coding RNA (233 nucleotides) under Setaria italica (foxtail millet). RNAcentral describes it as "long non-coding RNA (SITA_LNC003815)". The record is from RNAcentral. Lineage: Eukaryota; Viridiplantae; Streptophyta; Magnoliopsida; Poales; Poaceae.
GAACAUUACCCCGUCGUUGGGGCGCUUCUGGCUCGCAUGCCGCGAUGAAGCCCGGCUGUGGAGCCACCGACUAAAGGUCGAGGAUCGUCAGAUAGCGGAUGCCUGGUGUUCACUUUUUUGUUCAAUGUAAACUAAUGUAAUCUUCAUCCCCGCCCCCACUUUCUUGCUUAAGAUCUAAUGUACUUGCAUUUGGCCGACCUUCAGGCCCUAUAAUGAAAUCAGGUGGGGCGCUC